This 22-nucleotide microRNA is filed under the name Tribolium castaneum (red flour beetle). RNAcentral's name for it is "tca-miR-3810-3p". Lineage: Eukaryota; Metazoa; Arthropoda; Insecta; Coleoptera; Tenebrionidae. The record is from miRBase by way of RNAcentral.
AUCAUUCGUGGGUAAUCUACAC